GGGUUUCUGCCCCUCUCGUGAACGGGUUCGAUUCCAGUGGCCUAUAACGACUCCGAGGGAGCUGGCUCUGAUCAGGUCCAGGCCUGGUUAUCUGGUACCCACCUGUAUGCACAGGUCCUCGGGAAACGUCACCCACACGGUUGCCGCGGUUCCCGC
RNAcentral lists this non-coding RNA (156 nucleotides) under Rubellimicrobium roseum. RNAcentral's name for it is "6S / SsrS RNA". It matches the Rfam family "6S / SsrS RNA". From Rfam's summary of the family: E. coli 6S RNA was the first non coding RNA to be sequenced, but its function was unknown until recently. It consists of 184 nucleotides that fold into an extended hairpin structure with a large single-stranded internal bulge. Lineage: Bacteria; Pseudomonadati; Pseudomonadota; Alphaproteobacteria; Rhodobacterales; Roseobacteraceae. The record is from Rfam by way of RNAcentral.